UGCGGGGUGGAGCAGAGGUAGCUCGUCAGGCUCAUAACCUGAAGGUCAGGGGUUCGAAUCCUCUCCCCGCUACUA
This 75-nucleotide transfer RNA is filed under the name Bacteroidales bacterium KA00251. RNAcentral's name for it is "tRNA-Met". It matches the Rfam family "tRNA". Rfam says of the family: Transfer RNA (tRNA) molecules are approximately 80 nucleotides in length. Lineage: Bacteria; Pseudomonadati; Bacteroidota; Bacteroidia; Bacteroidales. The record is from RNAcentral.